This 65-nucleotide transfer RNA is filed under the name Ziczacella heptapotamica. RNAcentral describes it as "tRNA-Phe". Lineage: Eukaryota; Metazoa; Arthropoda; Insecta; Hemiptera; Cicadellidae. The record is from RNAcentral.
AUUCUGGUAGCUUAAUUUAUAGAGCAUUAUAUUGAAGAUAUAAGUGAGAGAUUACUCUCAGAAUA